This 414-nucleotide ribosomal RNA is filed under the name uncultured bacterium. Its description in RNAcentral is "bacterial SSU rRNA". It matches the Rfam family "Bacterial small subunit ribosomal RNA", at positions 80 to 486 of the family's 1533-position model. The record is from RNAcentral.
UUGCUUUUCUCUGAUGUUAGCGGCGGUACGGGUGAGUAACACGUGGGCAACCUGCCUUUUAGUUUGGGAUAACUUCGGGAAACCGGAGCUAAUACCGAAUAAUACUCUUUCCUUCAUGGGAGAAAGUUGAAAGAUGGUUUACGCUAUCGCUAGAGGAUGGGCCCGCGGUGCAUUAGCUAGUUGGUGAGGUAACGGCUCACCAAGGCCACGAUGCAUAGCCGACCUGAGAGGGUGAUCGGCCACACUGGGACUGAGACACGGCCCAGACUCCUACGGGAGGCAGCAGUAGGGAAUCUUCCGCAAUGGACGAAAGUCUGAUGGAGCAAUGCCGCGUGAGUGAUGAAGGAUUUCGGUUCGUAAAACUCUGUUGUAAGGGAAGAACAAGUAAACGUAGUAACUGGCGUUACCCAUGAC